This 492-nucleotide ribosomal RNA is filed under the name uncultured bacterium. RNAcentral describes it as "partial 16S ribosomal RNA". It matches the Rfam family "Bacterial small subunit ribosomal RNA", at positions 29 to 507 of the family's 1533-position model. The record is from RNAcentral.
AGUGAACGCUGGCGGUAGGCCUAACACAUGCAAGUCGAACGGCAGCACCGUACGAGCUUGCUCUUACGGGUGGCGAGUGGCGGACGGGUGAGGAAUACAUCCUAAUCUACUUUUUCGUGUGGGUUAACGUAGGGAAACUUACUCUAAUACCGCAUACGCCCUACGAGUGAAAGCAGGGGAUCUUCGCACCUUGCGCGGAUGAAUGAGCCGAUGUCGGGUUAGCUAGUUGGCGGGGUACUGACCAACCCAGUCGCCGAUCCGUAGCUGGUCAGAGAGGAUGAUCAGCCACACGGGAAGUGGGACGCGGACCAGACGCCUACGGGAGGCAGCAGUGUGGAAUAGGGGACAAUGGGCGCAAGUCUGAUCCAGCGAUACCGAGUGGGUGAAGGAGGCCUUCGGGUUGUAAAGCCCGUUUGCUGGGAAAGAAAAGCAGCAGGUUAAGACCCCGCGGUUCUGACGGUACCCAAAGAAUAAGCACCGGCUAACUUCGUG